CGCGGAGUAGAGCAGUGGUAGCUCGUCAGGCUCAUAACCUGAAGGCCGGUGGUUCGAUCCCGCCCUCCGCAA
Molecule: transfer RNA, 72 nt
Filed under: Bacteroidales bacterium
Lineage: Bacteria; Pseudomonadati; Bacteroidota; Bacteroidia; Bacteroidales
Description: tRNA-Met
Rfam family: tRNA
About the family: Transfer RNA (tRNA) molecules are approximately 80 nucleotides in length. Their secondary structure includes four short double-helical elements and three loops (D, anti-codon, and T loops).
Source: RNAcentral